This 254-nucleotide ribosomal RNA is filed under the name uncultured bacterium. Its description in RNAcentral is "partial 16S ribosomal RNA". It matches the Rfam family "Bacterial small subunit ribosomal RNA", at positions 524 to 776 of the family's 1533-position model. The record is from RNAcentral.
UACGUAGGGGGCGAGCGUUGUCCGGAAUCAUUGGGCGUAAAGAGCUCGUAGGCGGCUUGGCAAGUCGGAUGUGAAAACUCCAGGCUCAACCUGGAGCCGCCAUUCGAUACUGCUAUGGCUAGAGUCCGGUAGGGGAGUGUGGAAUUCCCGGUGUAGCGGUGAAAUGCGCAGAUAUCGGGAAGAACACCCGUGGCGAAGGCGGCUCUCUGGGACGGUACUGACGCUGAGACGCGAAAGCGUGGGGAGCGAACAGG